Non-coding RNA from Spinacia oleracea (spinach), 102 nucleotides. The record is from Rfam. Lineage: Eukaryota; Viridiplantae; Streptophyta; Magnoliopsida; Caryophyllales; Amaranthaceae.
GUCUGUUCGGAGACAUCUGAUAAAAUUGAAACGAUACAGAGAAGAUUAUUAUGAGCCCUACACAAGAACGACAUAUACUUUGUAUAGUCCAAUCUAAUCAAU